GAGACUCUGUGCGCGUGCAUAUCAAUAAGCGGAGGAAAAGAAACUAACAAGGAUUCCCUUAGUAACGGCGAGUGAAGCGGGAAGAGCUCAAAUUUGAAAUCUUCAAGGUUUUACCUUGACGAAUUGUAGUUUAAAGAAGUGUUUUCUGUUGAAGUUUUGGUAAAAGUUCUUUGGAAUAGGACAUCAUAGAGGGUGAGAAUCCCGUAUUUGACCAUUAUUCUCAGCUGUGUGAUACGCUUUCAAAGAGUCGGAUUGUUUGGGAAUGCAGUCCGAAAUGGGUGGUAAAUUUCAUCUAAAGCUAAAUAUUGGCGAGAGACCGAUAGCGAACAAGUACCGUGAGGGAAAGAUGAAAAGAACUUUGAAAAGAGAGUUAAACAGUACGUGAAAUUGUCAAAAGGGAAGCGUUUGACACCAGUGUUGUUUUCUCGAAAAUCAAUUAAAAAGAGUUGGAUUUUGUGUUGUAUUGACCUUAACAGCUUUCUUCACUCUUUUCUUGCUUUUUUUAAUGCACUUUUCGUUUAACAAGUCAACAUCAGUUUCUUUUGUUGUAAAAGGGUCAUUGGAAGGUGGCUUUCUUUUCGGAGAAAGUGUUUAUAGCCUUUGAUCUCUGCAAUCGGAGAGACUGAGGUCUGCAGCGUAGAUCCUUCGGGGUUAGAUACAUUUGUGCUAAGUUAUAGCUUUUCAUAGACAACUUGUUGACUAUGUUUAGUCAUGUAGCUUACUCGCUUAUGCUAUUUUACCUACGCUUAGGAUGUUGAAUCUGUGCGAGACUAC
RNAcentral lists this ribosomal RNA (774 nucleotides) under uncultured Neocallimastigales. Its description in RNAcentral is "partial large subunit ribosomal RNA". It matches the Rfam family "Eukaryotic large subunit ribosomal RNA", at positions 23 to 644 of the family's 3401-position model. Lineage: Eukaryota; Fungi; Neocallimastigomycota; Neocallimastigomycetes; Neocallimastigales. The record is from RNAcentral.